CAAGAAAUGUGAUAAAGAAGAAAAGGCUGAAAAGACCAAGAUUAAAAAGAGCAAAGGUCUCGUUGCAUCUGUGCCAGAUAUAGCUCCUGGGUUUCUCCAGCUUGGGAAAGCAGCUUUAUUCUGAUUUUGCAGCCUAUGAAAAGAAACACCAAAGAAGUGAGCAAUACUUCCAGCUGAUAAGUCCCCAUUUGGUGGAAGAAAACCAAUUUCUGGGAUUCAACCAUUGUAAAUUAUCUGAAAGGACACUCCAGAAAGGCAAUACAGAAGUGGCCUGAAUACAUGCUGAAAAUGCAAUCCACCAGAAGAACCAAGCAAUUAAUUUUUUGAGAAUGGGUGCUAGGGUUGAUGCUGUAGCAGCCAGAGUUCAAACUGCAGUAACAAUGGGCAAGAUUUCUGCCCUGAUGGACAAAUGUGAACACCAGUUUGAAGCAUUUGAUGUUCAAACACAACAAAUGGAAGACACAGUGAGUAGCACUACAACACUAAAAAUGACCAAGUAAGAAUAGUUUCAAUACUUA
Molecule: long non-coding RNA, 518 nt
Filed under: Ursus maritimus (polar bear)
Lineage: Eukaryota; Metazoa; Chordata; Mammalia; Carnivora; Ursidae
Description: lncRNA (ENSUMAG00000023619.1)
Source: RNAcentral